UUCUACAAUGGAAAAAUAAACAAUUCUCUGAGUAAGGGUGUGCUGCAAGUUUGUCCCUUUACUUAACUUCCCCUAGAAGAGAGGAAAGAGAACCCUUCUGUGGUAGAGCAUAUGAAGUCUGUCUGGAAGUCCCCGUUUUUGCAGACUGAUGAUGCUGAUACCUCCAGAACAUGAUGGUUAUUGAUUUUCCAUCUUGUAUCUCAGAAGAAACCACACAGAUCCUGGACUUGAUUCACUGAAAGGAAAGCAAAAGGACUCUGAUAGGAGAUUUCUUACAUACAAGCCUUGUGUCUGAUGUACCUGUACUUCUCUGCCCCCAGCAGCACAGAUGGCAGCGUUGUGCUCACACUGUGUUCUUGGAUCGUGUGGAGGAAAAGCUUUGCCAGCUGCAUCAGGGA
Molecule: long non-coding RNA, 398 nt
Organism: Lepidothrix coronata (blue-crowned manakin)
Lineage: Eukaryota; Metazoa; Chordata; Aves; Passeriformes; Pipridae
Exons: 4
Source: RefSeq, a predicted model, not a curated record